Molecule: ribosomal RNA, 253 nt
Filed under: uncultured bacterium
Lineage: Bacteria
Description: partial 16S ribosomal RNA
Rfam family: Bacterial small subunit ribosomal RNA
Source: RNAcentral
UACGUAGGGUGCGAGCGUUAAUCGGAAUUACUGGGCGUAAAGCGUGCGCAGGCGGUUUUGUAAGCCAGAUGUGAAAUCCCCGGGCUUAACCUGGGAAUGGCAUUUGGGACUGCAAGGCUGGAGUGUGGCAGAGGAGACUGGAAUUCCCGGUGUAGCAGUGAAAUGCGUAGAUAUCGGGAGGAAUACCGAUGGCGGAGGCAGGUCUCUGGGCUGACACUGACGCUCAUGCACGAAAGCGUGGGGAGCAAACAGG